UGGCACUCCAGAUGUUUUGGACUACACCUCUCAUGAUGCUUUGCAAAGCAUCAUGGGAGGUGUAGUCCAAAACAUCUGGAGUGCCG
This 86-nucleotide microRNA precursor is filed under the name Pelobates cultripes (western spadefoot toad). The record is from RNAcentral. Lineage: Eukaryota; Metazoa; Chordata; Amphibia; Anura; Pelobatidae.